Molecule: non-coding RNA, 73 nt
Filed under: unclassified sequences
Source: RNAcentral
UCACCAACCGGUGAUGGGCGGCACCGGUGCGAACAGCAUCAUGAUCGGUACGGCUGAUGCGCUCUACUACACC